AGUGAACGCUGGCGGUAGGCUUAACACAUGCAAGUCGAACGAUAGCACUGUACGAGCUAGCGCUUAUGGUUGGGGAGGGGCGGGUGGGUGAGGAGAACAUGCGAAUCUACUUUUUCGUAGUGGUCAACGGAGGGACAAAUACCCCAAAAGCCCUUAGGAGGAACGGGGGGAAUCUUCGGACCUUCGGAUCUAGGGGGGUCCGAUGUCUGAUUAGCUAGUUGGUGGGGUAAUGGCCUACCAAGGCGACGAUCAGUAGCUGGUCUGAGAGGAUGACCAGCCACACUGGAACUGAGACACGGUCCAGACUCCUACGGGAGGCAGCAGUGGGGAAUAUUGGACAAUGGGCGCAAGCCUGAUCCAGCCAUACCGCGUGAGUGAAGAAGGCCUUCGGGUUGUAAAGCCCUUUUGUAAGGGAAGAAAACUAGCCGGUUAAUACACCGCUAUGCUGACGGUACCCAAAGAAGAAGCACCGGCUAACUUCGUG
Molecule: ribosomal RNA, 484 nt
Filed under: uncultured bacterium
Lineage: Bacteria
Description: partial 16S ribosomal RNA
Rfam family: Bacterial small subunit ribosomal RNA
Source: RNAcentral